This is an RNA transcript of Malurus melanocephalus (red-backed fairy wren), 3410 nucleotides long. It is a transcript of the gene named SPNS lysolipid transporter 2, sphingosine-1-phosphate, with no coding region annotated. The record is from RefSeq and is a predicted model, not a curated record. The transcript has 14 exons. Lineage: Eukaryota; Metazoa; Chordata; Aves; Passeriformes; Maluridae.
CGGGCUGUCAGAGCCGGCCGGUCCCGGGCGAGCUCGGGGCGGCCGCGGGAUGCGGCGCUGAGCGCGCUCAGCUCGCCUCUCUCCGUCCGUCGGUCGGUCACCCCGCCCGGGCUCCGGCACGCCGAGAUUCCCUCCCGCAAGCUCAUGAUGUGCCUGGAAAGCGACGGCUCCUCCGGCAGCAGCCCGGGCUGCGGCGGGCGGCUCCGAGCCGGCGACGAGGAGGAGGAGGAGGACGGCGAGCAGGGCUGCUGCGGCCGGGGCGCCGAGGGCGAGGUGCAGACUCUGUCGGGCCGGAUGAACCCGCCGGCGGCCGGCAAGCACCCCGACCGCCCCUCCGCCCUCCGYAAGGCGCCGAGCCUCGGCCGGGCCCGCGUAGCGGCCGCUGGUAUCCUCAGCGUGGGCAACGUGCUCAACUACCUGGACCGGUACACGGUGGCAGGUGUGUUACUAGAUAUCCAGCAGCACUUUGGAGUCAAAGACAGUGGAGCUGGCUUGCUACAGACAGUUUUCAUCUGUAGUUUCAUGGUCGCAGCACCGAUCUUUGGUUACCUUGGUGACCGGUUCAACAGAAAGAUCAUUCUCAGCUGUGGGAUCUUCUUUUGGUCAGCUGUCACUUUUUCAAGCUCCUUCAUCACUGAACAGUAUUUCUGGCUCCUUGUGCUCUCACGGGGUUUGGUUGGCAUUGGUGAAGCGAGUUAUUCCACUAUUGCACCAACAAUUAUUGGAGACCUGUUCACCAAAAACACAAGGACCCUUAUGCUGUCUGUCUUCUACUUUGCAAUUCCUCUGGGCAGUGGCUUGGGGUACAUCACUGGGUCCAGUGUGAAGCAGGUUGCUGGAGACUGGCACUGGGCACUGCGGGUAUCUCCACUCCUAGGAAUGAUAACAGGGACGCUCAUCUUGAUAUUUGUGCCUGCUGCUAAAAGAGGAAAUGCUGAACAACUUGGGGGGCAGCUGAAGGCUCGGACUUCAUGGCUGAGAGACAUGAAAGCAUUGAUUAGAAACCGCAGCUACGUGUUCUCAUCCUUGGCCACCUCAGCUGUCUCCUUUGCCACAGGAGCACUUGGCAUGUGGAUUCCUCUGUACCUUCACAGAGCACAGGUUGUGCAGAAGACAGCAGAGACCUGCAGCUCCCAGCCCUGUGGCACCAAAGAUAGUUUGAUCUUUGGAGCAAUCACUUGCUUCACUGGUUUCCUGGGUGUGAUCACCGGGGCAGGAGCAACCAAAUGGUGCCGGUCAAAGACCCAGCGAGCUGAUCCUCUUGUYUGUGCUGUUGGAAUGCUGGGAUCAGCCAUCUUCAUCUGUCUGAUCUUUGUGGCUGCCAAGAGCAGCAUUGUGGGAGCCUAUAUUUGCAUUUUUAUCGGAGAAACUCUUCUGUUUUCAAACUGGGCUAUCACAGCAGACAUACUAAUGUAUGUGGUCAUUCCAACUCGCCGUGCAACUGCAGUGGCCUUGCAGAGUUUCACUUCACACCUCCUGGGAGAUGCUGGCAGUCCUUAUCUCAUUGGAUUUAUCUCAGACCUGAUACGACAAAGCACAAAGGAGUCCCCAGUYUGGGAGUUCCUCAGCCUGGGUUACGCGCUCAUGCUCUGCCCAUUUGUCGUCGUCCUGGGAGGGAUGUUCUUCCUGGCCACWGCCCUCUUCUUCCUCAGUGACCGAGCCAAAGCUGAGCAACAUAAAGAAACCGAUUCGGAUCAUCUCACGGUUGGCAACUACAGUAAUUCAGAAGACGCUUCCACAUGACAUACAAACCUCUGGGGGUGAAUCACCUCGUGAUGCCACCAGCCUCUGUGAAAGUCUGAGAAGCUGCCAGUGAAGGAAAUGACACGUGGACUGCUGCUCCCACACCACCAAUCUCGAGCUCGAAGCCCUCCYGUACUGGAUACCAGUGGAUCCUUCAGCUCCACAUCCCAGAGGGGYUCUCCAGCACUAAAUCCAUCCCCCACUGCUGCAGCCUGCAGGGUCAGGCACCAGGAGAUGAGCAGMUGGGAACACGGGAACUUCUGGAGCACAAGGACAUUCACAGGGUCCCCUGAGCAUGGAAACCAACUGUCCACUGGACCCAGAAAGUGCUGCCCAAGUGAGCGACUGUAGAUUGUGUAAAUUGUUUUAGUUAUAGCCAAUGAAGCCACACUGUUUGUAGGGCAGCUGGUGUCCUAUGGAAUGCUGCUGCUCUGCCAGCACUCCCACUCCCACGGACUGCACUAGCUUGGGACCUGUUCAUCACCUAUUCUUUGACACUGAAGGCUCAAUCCAGAUUAUUAUUUUUUAUUUAAAUAUGUUAUAGGAUGCUUUAUCUCUGCUGAAGACAUUAGAUGAAAUAUAUAUAUAUAUUUAGAUAAACAGUUUUUAUUUAAAUAUUAGAAAUCUGGAGCUACCUGUGCAACCAUAGCAGGCAUGAAUAACGUCCACAGCUCUCCCCCUCUCAGUGCCCUGGUGCCAGGGCCUGCAAGGGCACCACAGGAAAAUUUCCAGUGGGUGACCUACCUAUCACUGAGACUGAGCAGUGGGACAGAGGAGAGAGUUUCACUGCACUGGGUAUGCUGGUGGUUGUCACAGAAAGGCCCAGAAGAACAUUGGACAGAAAUCCCUACGGGCUCUAGAGUUUUCCAUAUGCUAAAUUCAGCCUUGCCUAGGAGGUUCACAGGCUUUUGAAAUAACAAAAUCCACCUUGUUGAAUGGCUGUACCUUGGGCCUGGGAGUGCAAUACUGCUGUGCCAGUGACCUCGUGCUUUGUUUACAUGAUACCAUAUCACUUGGACUGUCAAUGCUAAUUCUCCCUGUCAACAUUCCAAAGCAGGUGGCUGACACUCUGCCUUUGGGGCAGUGCUUGGGUUYCUGCACACCCAACCCUGACCUGUCCCAGAGCCUGUCACUGGGGUGUCACUUGUACCCUUACAAAGGUGCUUUUUGAGAGCUUUCAGACAAGGCCAGUGCCUGAGCUGGGUUAGACUCAAAUGCAGAAGCAUGUCACAGUGCCAUUCCACUGGAGUCUUGUUUCCUGCACUUGACCUCCACAAGCCAAAUUUAUGCUGUGUCAGCUGGAUGGGGGAGGAAGGGGAGUACAGGGAGACCCUGCAGAGGGCCAGGCUGGCACAGGGAGGGCACUGCCACAGGGAGGGCACUGCCACAGCGAGGGCACUGUCACAGGGAGGGCACUGUCACAGAGAGGGCACUGCCACAGGGAGCCCCCACUCCCUCUGUUCUGAGCCCUCUCUCACAGUUCAGAUCCCCCUCCAGUUCAGCACAACUGGAGCAGGGGAAGGCACCUCACUCCUGUGCUCAUGGCUGACCAGGGGCUGCACUUGGACUCCAAGGAAGACUAAAUCACCUCAGGCAAUGCCAGAGGGGGGUUGGAUGUGAGUUAAGGCAGGGAGCUGCUGUCCUGGAUGUGCCAUAAGAUCACUUGG